RNAcentral lists this microRNA precursor (156 nucleotides) under Pelobates cultripes (western spadefoot toad). Lineage: Eukaryota; Metazoa; Chordata; Amphibia; Anura; Pelobatidae. The record is from RNAcentral.
AAAAAAAAAAGAGGAAAAAUUUAUUGAACCCACCUCCACACACAACGUUUUGACCUGAACGGUCUUUGUCAAGCUUGAGACAGACCGUUCAGGUCAAAACGUUGUUAGUGGCGGUGGGUUCAAUAAAUUGCUUUUUUUUUUUUUUUUUUUUUAACU